UUCGAGCCUGGUUUGGUAAGUUUAGCACUGUUAUCCAGGACUUUGGCAUGACUCGGAGUGAAGCUGAUCACUCUGUAUUCUAUUGGCAUUCUGAUUCACGUCUCUGUAUUUAUCUGGUGGUCUAUGUUGACGACAUUGUUAUUACUGGUAAUGACCAUAAUGGUAUUACUAAAUUGAAACACAUCUCUUUCAACACUUUCAGACUAAGGAUCUGGGCACACUAAAGUAUUUUCUCGGUAUUGAGGUCGCUCAGUCUAGCUCAGGUAUUGUGAUCUCACAACGGAAGUAUGCCUUAGAUAUU
This 301-nucleotide long non-coding RNA is filed under the name Nicotiana benthamiana. Its description in RNAcentral is "long non-coding RNA (NBEN_LNC013733)". Lineage: Eukaryota; Viridiplantae; Streptophyta; Magnoliopsida; Solanales; Solanaceae. The record is from RNAcentral.